UUUCUCUUGGAGCUUCAAUGGAGAUUAGGAGCUGCUCUCAAGUAUUCUCUGUAGUCAACAAGUCUAUUCUAACCAUUUUGGUCAAGUCAAAGUUCGAAUCGAACUUUCCUACGUGAUCGUAAUACUGAAGGUAGUGGAGCUUGAUAUUAGGCUGGAAAUGGUUCGGCUAAAGAAAAAGCUUUGAAAUGUGCGACUCCACAGCUUAAAGGCCUAUGAUGUCCUAAGCUAGUUUUAAUUCUGAUCCUACCUUGUGGGAUUUAUAUCGAACAGUUUGUGUAAUU
RNAcentral lists this long non-coding RNA (281 nucleotides) under Helianthus annuus (common sunflower). RNAcentral describes it as "sRNA HanXRQr2_Chr12g0538871". Lineage: Eukaryota; Viridiplantae; Streptophyta; Magnoliopsida; Asterales; Asteraceae. The record is from RNAcentral.